This 432-nucleotide ribosomal RNA is filed under the name Clupea harengus (Atlantic herring). RNAcentral's name for it is "partial 16S ribosomal RNA". Lineage: Eukaryota; Metazoa; Chordata; Actinopteri; Clupeiformes; Clupeidae. The record is from RNAcentral.
UAAGCAGCCAUCUGAACAGAAAGCGUUAAAGCUCGGACCAGAACAAGCCUAUUAUAAUAUUAUAACCUCUAAUGCCCCUAUUACUACUGAGCCAUCCUAUGCCUACAUAGGAGGGACCAUGCUAGAACGAGUAACAAGAAGAAUGAACUUCUCCCCGCACAAGUGUAAGUUGGAUCGGACCCCCCACCAACAAUUAACGAACCCAAUAAUAGAGGAGCCUACACCCCCGCCACCCUAGGCCAAGAAGACCACGUAUUACCAUAUCGUUAACCCCACACAGGAGUGCUAGACAAGGGAAAGACUAAAAGGAUGAAAAGGAACUCGGCAAACCGAAACCCCGCCUGUUUACCAAAAACACCGCCUCCUGACCACACCACAUAGGAGGUCCCGCCUGCCCAGUGACCAAAAGUUUAACGGCCGCGGUAAUAAAAA